This 468-nucleotide ribosomal RNA is filed under the name uncultured bacterium. RNAcentral's name for it is "partial 16S ribosomal RNA". It matches the Rfam family "Bacterial small subunit ribosomal RNA", at positions 28 to 507 of the family's 1533-position model. The record is from RNAcentral.
GACGAACGCUGGCGGCGUGCUUAACACAUGCAAGUCGAACGGAAAGGCCCUGCUUUUGUGGGGUUCUCGAUUGGCGAACGGGUGAGUAACACGUGAGUAACCUGCCCUUGACUUUGGGAUAACUUCAGGAAACUGGGGCUAAUACCGGAUAGGAGCUCCUGCUGCAUGGUGGGGGUUGGAAAGUUUCGGCGGUUGGGGAUGGACUCGCGGCUUAUCAGCUUGUUGGUGGGGUAGUUGCUUACCAAGGGUUUGACGGGUAGCCGGCCUGAGAGGGUGACCGGGGACAAUGGGACUGAGAUAGGGCGCAGAAUGCAACGGGAGGCAGCAGUGGGGAAUAUUGCAGAAUGGGCGGAAGCCUGAGGCAGAAACGCCGGGAGCGGGAUGACGGGCUACGGGUGGUAAACAGAUUUGGAAUGUGACGAAGAGAGAGUGACGGUAAUGGGUAAAGAAGCACCGGCUAACUACGUG